CAUGCAGACUGUAAUAGUUUUACUGUGACAUCAUUAGUUUUACUGUCACAAAACAGCACAGGUGGGGGAUAUUUGAAGUAGCCAGUUGUUGCUGGAGGGAGAAGGAGCCAGUCAGAGCGCACGACGAGACGUGGCCGGUAGCAAUCAGUCAACGAGGGUAAUAUCCCGGUGUGAGCCAGCGCACGGGCAUACAGAGCGAGAGGAGGGCACCCGUCCCGGACACUUUACAUUAGGCUGGCUACCUCCUGUGUUACAAAUUCAUAUAUGAAGAAAAGCAAUCAGGUGGUCCUGAAUGGAAAUUUGUAGAAUUUCUUUACAACUGCAAAAAGGCGAAUAAAACGGUUCCAUGACUUUAUGGAGACAUUUUCAUUUGUAAUUCCGGAGAUUUUUCUUCCCAUUCUUUCCAAGAAGUGACGCAACAUCAACACUCCCAGUAAACUGGACACAGGAAUAUUUGUUGUGUUACAAGAGCUACGCCAGAGCACCCAGACAGACCAAGUCUCAACGAACAGGUUACUGAUUACAUGGUUUUAUUAUGGGUUUUCAUUGAGCUAUUGUAAAUGAAGAUGAAAACCAUUGAGGGUUAGAGACGGUGAGUCCAUCCUGCUCUUUUGCUCUUUACAUCUUACAUUCUCAGAAUGUCCACAAGACAAGACCUACCUGCAUACAUCAUCAGAGCAUCUGUUUUCACAAAGGAGAUCUGAAGUCAUGGUUGUAUCUCUGUUUAUGCUGAUUGUUGGUUGGUCUGUAUUGUCAUGUUAUUACCAGGUUGGCAAGGACACAGGAGAGGCCUCAUGGGAGGAACAAAACGGGAUAAGAAACCAGACGGGAUAAGAAACCAGACGGGAUAAGAAACCAGACGGGAUAAGAAAUGUGACGACUGACUGAGCAAAAGAAGAAUACGUCAGAGAAAGAAGGAAAGAGAGAAGGAUUGUGUGUUCUCUACUUUCUCAGAAGUGCAGCCCCUAAAUUCCUGUUACUAUGCCUGAGAGAGGGAGCGCAGCAGACCAGUCAAAAUGAACCCCUACGUCACCUCUCACUUUAGGAGGGAUCUCUUUCCCCACUUCCACUUGUUGUAGAGGCUUCUCUUCUCCCCUCUCUUACUGUUUGUGUGACAUGACAACACCUGUCUCUGUGUAAACCUAAGACAGUAGGUAACACCUGUCUCUGUGUAAACCUAGGACAGUAGGUAACACCUGUCUCUGUGUAAACCUAGGAC
This is a long non-coding RNA of Oncorhynchus tshawytscha (Chinook salmon), 1219 nucleotides long. Lineage: Eukaryota; Metazoa; Chordata; Actinopteri; Salmoniformes; Salmonidae. The record is from Ensembl.